This 493-nucleotide ribosomal RNA is filed under the name Ligia hawaiensis. RNAcentral describes it as "partial 12S ribosomal RNA". Lineage: Eukaryota; Metazoa; Arthropoda; Malacostraca; Isopoda; Ligiidae. The record is from RNAcentral.
UUUGAGCUAAGAAUCUAAAUAAAGCAAGAAAAUUACCACUAAAUAUUUUAGCUUUAGGUAAAAUUUAAACCUAAAUUUAUUUAUAGAGUCAAAUUUCAAAUCUUAAGAGAUAAACAAGGAUUAGAUACCCUUCUAUACUUAAGACUUUUAAGCAGGGUAGUAACUAGUUAUGUUCUUCAAACCCAAAGGAUUUGGCGGUGCUCUAUAUAAUUAGAGGAGCCUGUGGAAUAAUCGAAACUACGCGCUAUAUCUUACCAAAGCUAAGCUUGUAUACCGUCGUCUAGGCAAUUCUAAAAAGACUUACCUAACUGAGAUAUACCUAUGGCAGAUCAAGGUGCAGCUUGCUUUGGUUACUAUAGGCUACAAUCUAGAUAUAGCUAGAAGAGGAAAGUAAGGUAACCUCUGAAAUAGGAUUUAAUAGUAAUUUAAGUUUAAUACACUAAAAUAAAAUUUCCAUAGAGCAUGUACAUAUCGCCCGUCACUCUCAUAUUCU